This 301-nucleotide ribosomal RNA is filed under the name uncultured bacterium. RNAcentral describes it as "partial 16S ribosomal RNA". It matches the Rfam family "Bacterial small subunit ribosomal RNA", at positions 509 to 807 of the family's 1533-position model. The record is from RNAcentral.
CAGCCGCCGCGGUAAUACGAAGGGUGCAAGCGUUAAUCGGAAUUACUGGGCGUAAAGCGUGCGUAGGCGGUGAGUUAAGUCUGCUGUGAAAUCCCCGGGCUCAACCUGGGAAUGGCAGUGGAUACUGGCUCGCUAGAGUGUGUCAGAGGAUGGUGGAAUUCCCGGUGUAGCGGUGAAAUUCGUAGAUAUUCGGAAGAACACCGGUGGCGAAGGCGACUUACUGGUCCAUUACUGACGCUGAGGCACGAAAGCGUGGGGAGCAAACAGGAUUAGAUACCCCUGUAGUCCCUGUCUCUUAUAC